GACGAACGCUGGCGGCGUGCUUAACACAUGCAAGUCGAACGGUAAGGCCCUUCGGGGUACACGAGUGGCGAACGGGUGAGUAACACGUGGGUGAUCUGCCCUGCACUUCGGGAUAAGCCUGGGAAACUGGGUCUAAUACCGGAUAGGACCCUGGGAUGCAUGUCCUGGGGUGGAAAGCUUUUGCGGUGUGGGAUGGGCCCGCGGCCUAUCAGCUUGUUGGUGGGGUGAGGGCCUACCAAGGCGACGACGGGUAGCCGGCCUGAGAGGGUGAGCGGAGACACUGGGACUGAGAUACGGCCCAGACUCCUACGCGAGGCAGCAGUGGGGAAUAUUGCACAAUGGGCGCAAGCCUGAUGCAGCGACGCCGCGUGAGGGAUGACGGCCUUCGGGUUGUAAACCUCUUUCAGCACCGACGAAGCGCAAGUGACGGUAGGUGCGGAAGAAGGACCGGCCAACUACGUGCCAGCAGCCGCGGUAA
This 478-nucleotide ribosomal RNA is filed under the name uncultured bacterium. RNAcentral describes it as "partial 16S ribosomal RNA". It matches the Rfam family "Bacterial small subunit ribosomal RNA", at positions 28 to 523 of the family's 1533-position model. The record is from RNAcentral.